AGAGCUAACGCAGGGAACUGAAACAUCUUAGUACCUGCAGGAAGAGAAAAUAAAUGAAUGAUUCCCCCAGUAGUGGCGAGCGAACGGGGAACAGCCCAAACCAGUGGCGUCGCAAGGCGUGGCUGGGGUUGUAGGACCGCGACAUUGUAUGCAAAUCGUGAACAGAACACUUUGGAAAAUGUGACCAUAGACGGUGAUAGUCCAGUAUGUGAAGCGAAAUGCAGCAUAGCGGUAUCCUGAGUAACGCGGGACACGAGGAAUCCUGCGCGAAUCUGCCGGGACCAUCCGGUAAGGCUAAAUACUCCCGUGAGACCGAUAGCGAACGAGUACUGUGAAGGAAAGGUGAAAAGAACCCCGAGCAGGGGAGUGAAAUAGUUCCUGAAACCAUACGCCUACAAGCGGUCGGAGCAUCUUACGAUGUGACGGCGUGCCUUUUGCAUAAUGAUCCUACGAGUUACCGUCACUGGCGAGGUUGAGUGUCACGAGACACGUAGCCGCAGUGAAAGCGAGCCUGAAGAGGGCGCACAGUCAGUGGGGGUAGACGCGAAACCAAGUGAUCUACACUUGGCCAGGAUGAAGUCCCGGUAACACGGGAUGGAGGUCCGCACCAAUAAGCGUUGAAAAGCUUCUGGAUGAGCCGAGUGUAGGAGUGAAAGGCCAAUCAAACUUGGAGAUAGCUCGUACUCCCCGAAAGGCAUUUAGGUGCCGCGUCGGAUGGUCACCGUGAGAGGUAGAGCGACCGAUAGGACAAGAGGGCUUCACCGCCUAUCGAGUCCUGACGAACUCCGAAUGCUCACGGUCUGCAGUCCGGCAGUAAGGGGGCGGGUGCUAAGGUCCGUCCCCGAGAGGAGAAGAAUCCAGACCGCCGUCUAAGGUCCCGGAGUUCUGCCUGAGUUAGUCUAACGAAGUCUGGUCCCUAUGACAGCUAGGAUGUUGGCUUGGAAGCAGCCAUUCAUUCAAAGAGUGCGUAACAGCUCACUAGUCGAGGGUCCGGGCAUGGAUAAUAAUCGGGUAUAAGGCAGAUACCGAAGGCGCGGGAUAGCAAUAAUAAAAGUAUCGGUAGGGGAGCAUACUCACAGCGUCGAAUGGUGUACGUAAGUUAUCCUGGAGCGGUGAGUAAAGCAAAUGUAGGAAUAAGUAACGAUAAGGAGGGUUAGAUUCCCUCCCGCUGUAAGACCAAGGUUUCCCGGGCAAUGCCAAUCAGCCCGGGGUCAGUCGGGUCCUAAGUCUAAGCCGAACGGCGAUGGCGAUGGCAGAGACGGUUAAUAUUCCGUCACUGCCGCAUGGGGCGACGUGGAGACGGAGCAGUGAAACCACCGCGGGGCGACGGAAGUCCCCGUUGAAGAGUGUAGGUGUUGAGGAUGGCAGGCAAAUCCACCAUCCGAGCUGAACUUGACAGUACGGAGUCCUCCUCGGAGGAAUCUGAUAGUGUGGGUAAUCAUACUCCCGAGAAAAUCCGCUAAGCUUAACCCAUGCGGCACCCGUACCGCAAACGGACACACGUGGUCGGGUAGAACAUACUAAGGCGUUGAGAGAUUCAUGGUUAAGGAACUAGGCAAAUUGACCCUGUAACUUCGGGAUAAAGGGUCCUCGUGAUGAGCGAGGCGCAGAGAAUAGGUCCAGGCAACUGUUUAACAAAAACACAGGGCUGUGCAAACUCGAAAGAUGACGUAUACAGCCUGACACCUGCCCGGUGCCGGAAGGUUAAGAGGAGAUGUCACUCGCAAGAGGAAGCAUUGAAUUGAAGCCCCGGUAAACGGCGGCCGUAACUAUAACGGUCCUAAGGUAGCGAAAUUCCUUGUCGGGUAAGUUCCGACCUGCACGAAUGGUGUAAUGAUCUGGACGCUGUCUCAACCGUGAGCUCAGUGAAAUUGUAGUAUCGGUGAAGAUGCCGAUUACCCGCGAUGGGACGAAAAGACCCCGUGAACCUUUACUACAGCUUAGCAUUGACCUUGGUCAUCCGAUGUGUAGGAUAGGCCGGAGGCUUCGAAGCGGGAGCGCCAGCUUUCGUGGAGCCAUCCUUGAAAUACGGCCCUUUGGCUGUCUGAGGUCUAAC
This 2056-nucleotide ribosomal RNA is filed under the name wastewater metagenome. RNAcentral describes it as "bacterial LSU rRNA". It matches the Rfam family "Bacterial large subunit ribosomal RNA", at positions 176 to 2226 of the family's 2925-position model. The record is from RNAcentral.